Molecule: ribosomal RNA, 255 nt
Filed under: uncultured bacterium
Lineage: Bacteria
Description: partial 16S ribosomal RNA
Rfam family: Bacterial small subunit ribosomal RNA
Source: RNAcentral
UACGUAGGGGGCAAGCGUUAAUCGGAAUUACUGGGCGUAAAGCGCGCGUAGGUGGUUUUGAUAAGUUGGAUGUGAAAGCCCCGGGCUCAACCUGGGAAUUGCAUCCAAAAACUGUCUGACUAGAGUAUGGCAGAGGGUGGUGGAAUUUCCUGUGUAGCGGUGGAAUGCGUAGAUAUAGGAAGGAACACCAGUGGCGAAGGCGACCACCUGGGCUAAUACUGACACUGAGGUGCGAAAGCGUGGGGAGCAAACAGG